This 235-nucleotide long non-coding RNA is filed under the name Felis catus (domestic cat). RNAcentral's name for it is "lncRNA (ENSFCAG00000048356.1)". The record is from RNAcentral. Lineage: Eukaryota; Metazoa; Chordata; Mammalia; Carnivora; Felidae.
GAUACGGCUAGAGAACACUGAAGCUAAAAGAAAGUUUAUUCUUUUUUUUAAAACCUUCUUUAUCUCUCUCCUUAGAACAUUCCAAAAGCCUUUGGAAAAGAGAAGUGGCAGGAAACCCAAAUAGAGGCAAAGGGUUAACACUUUUGACAACAUGAAAAACUGUCAAAAAACCUAAUAGGCCUGAUGAACACAUAUUCUUGGAAGAGGCUCUACGAAAACAUACUGCUGACUUCAA